Molecule: unclassified non-coding RNA, 838 nt
Filed under: Hevea brasiliensis (rubber tree)
Lineage: Eukaryota; Viridiplantae; Streptophyta; Magnoliopsida; Malpighiales; Euphorbiaceae
Source: RNAcentral
AUGAAAUCAAAGAGCAUCCCAGGUAAUCAUUCUUGUGAAGUUAUCAUCCUGUUAGCUGUUGCCAGUGCAAAUCCCUGGUGGAAGUUGCAUUAAAGAUAGAUUAAUGUUUAUGCAUACCUUGAUUUGAGUAUAUUCAAACUCAAACUGAGUUCAGACUACUAUUGUAUGCAGUGAUGUAGGCUUGUUUGGCUUUAGUGUAGUAGAUGUGAAAGCUUAUUGCUUCAGGAUUAGUAGGAUAUCAUGGAUUUUUCACAUCCUGUCUCCAAUUGUGUAGGAGAUUUUCUGGUUCUAGGAUUUAUUUUAUGGUAAGCAAAUUACUUGUUUCCUGUCAUAACUUUCAAAAGAUAGCAUAUACUUUGAAUUCAGGAAAUAGAAAUGACCAAAAGAAAAGGUACCUCAUCAAUGAGGAUUAAGUUUAAAUUUUUUGGCAAAUCCGAGUGUAGGCAUGUAAAAUGUAAUUGAUAUCUUUCUUUACAAUUGCAUGCUAUUGUAAAUAGCUCAUCAUGACUCCUGGAAAGAUCAGGCUUGAUUGUGGAGUACUCUUGCACUGUGUCAAUUGAGGGGAUGAAGGAAUGCUUACUCAAUUACCUUCAUUGGACAUUGUCAUUCGAUUAUUAAUUUAUUUAUUGAGCAGAAGGGGAUUGAAGGGUUCCUUGUACUAUCCCAUGAUCACCUAAAUUAUUGAAAAAUGUUUUCCCCUAAAUUGGGUUGAGAGGGGAGAUAGAUUGUCGUCCCAAUUCCUUAACUUGUUCUUGAAUUCCAAGAUUACACUUCAUUUGGUGCAUUGUCCUUCUAAUAAAUUGUUUUCAAACCGAGUCAGCCAAGAGAAUCUCACGAU